This is a long non-coding RNA of Centrocercus urophasianus (Greater sage-grouse), 1005 nucleotides long. RefSeq lists it as uncharacterized. The transcript has 3 exons. The record is from RefSeq and is a predicted model, not a curated record. NCBI's taxonomy places the organism in Eukaryota, Metazoa, Chordata, Aves, Galliformes, Phasianidae.
GGCAGCUGUGGCGCGUGUUCCCUCGCUGAUUGGCCGGUAGCCACUGAGCGUCAGCCGGGGGCGGAGAACGCCAGGAGUGGCUGAGAAGAAGAAGACAGCCGAGAGCUGAUUCGCCGCCGUCUGUCACGUGUUACUAGAGGGGCUGUGACACCCGCUGUGGCGGAGGGGCUCGGCUUGUCAGGACAACUUCUUGUGACAAGGAGUUUGGAUUGCCAUCAUCUCAUAUCAUGAAAUCACAUUUCAGGGGAAUAUCUGACUCCAAAGCAGUGGUUUCUGCUUGGAAAUGUUCAUUAAUGUAAGACAGUGUCCUCAUGAAACUUGUUCCAGAGAAGGGGUGCAUUUUAAAUAAGGUGAUUAAACUUAAAAAAUGUGAAAGCAUGGACAAUUCUAUGAAACACUGAGUAAAGGUAUUUAAAAAAAAUAAAAUUGUCCUAUUCCUUCAGCAAACUGUUAUGACAAGUGCUUUUGUAGACAAUUUCAGUGAAAAUCAUUCAGCUUUGGAGUGCCAUUCCACUAACAAAAAGCUAAAAAGCAUGAAAGCGGAACACACACCUGCUUUUUGUUGGUGUGAGUUUGUCAUAUGUUAAAACACACACGCGCACACACACACAAGAAAAAAAAAAAAAGAAAAAAUCCUAAAGCACUAUGAGUGGUGUGCUUUCUCUGAAGGAGAGAAGGAGAGUUGCCUUUCCAUCAUUUCUGUGGUAUAUGUUUGUUCACCAGUUCAAUUAAAAAGAUGUGGUAACUCAGCAGAUGAAAGGAAAUGCUUAAUUUGCUAAUGCACAAAAAUGUUAGCAGUUGAAAGUUGGAGAAAAAUGGGUUUGAUGGAUAGACAACUCCCUGGAUAAAGGAUUGGCUGGAUGGUUGUACUCAGAGAGUUCUGAUCAGUUGUGCAGUGCCCAAGAGGAGACCAGUGACAAGUGGAUUUUCUCAGGGAUCGCUGUUGGGUCUGGUGUUACUUAACAUCUUUGUAGGCAAUGUGGACAGUGGGAUUGAGUGCACUCU